GAAAUGCGAAAAGUAAUGUGAAUUGCAGAAUUCAGUGAAUCAUCGAAUCUUUGAACGCAUAUUGCGCUCUCUGGCAUUCCGGAGAGCAUGUCUGUUUGAGCAUCAUUAAACAAAAUCAAGCAAAACUUUUGUUAGCUUGGAGAUGAGUUUUCUCGGCAAACCAAGCGUUAACCGAGUGACUUGAAAUGAAUUGAAGGCAGGCGUGUUUAGCUUACGGUGUGAUAUUUUAUCCUUACGGGUAAUCCUUCGCCUCAUACUUUACACGACUUGUCGUCUAGCAGGAACCGCAAUUGCGCGAAAAUCGCGUGACUUGUGUACUUGAUCUCAAAUCAGAUAGGAUUACCCGCUGAACUUAA
This 356-nucleotide unclassified non-coding RNA is filed under the name uncultured fungus. RNAcentral's name for it is "sequence contains ITS1". The stretch from base 1 to 105 matches the Rfam family "5.8S ribosomal RNA", at positions 50 to 154 of the family's 154-position model. The record is from RNAcentral. Lineage: Eukaryota; Fungi.